Molecule: long non-coding RNA, 1168 nt
Organism: Lagopus muta (rock ptarmigan)
Lineage: Eukaryota; Metazoa; Chordata; Aves; Galliformes; Phasianidae
Exons: 3
Source: RefSeq, a predicted model, not a curated record
UUGUGUUUUCCCAGAAAACAUUAUUCCACUAUGAAAAUGAUACUCCCAUCCUUUUCAGCAACACCGCAAAGAAAAUAUGGGCCUUUUCCUUUCUUUUAUUUGCUUUUCUUUGGGUCAGCCUCAUUUCCCAGGGAUGCUUUUCCUGCAGCAUCUCUUUCCUGACUGCGCUGCACUUUAUGGUGGUUUCUUGGUGACUCCACGCGUUGCUGCGCCGUGCGAACAGCCCUGAUGUGGCAGAGGACACCUCAUCGUGCACAGCAGCACAAGUGUGCACACUCAGCCACGCUGCGUGAGAAAACCACGCUGAGAGCGACUCCUGGUGUGGGCUGGAACGAAUGGACGCCCAUAGAUCUCAAUUCAGCACUGAGUUAUUGCCAACUACCGGAGCGGUAACACUUCGUAUGGGAAAGUGUAAACCGAGCCAGGGGUCUGCUGGGGGAACGCUGCUCUGCGACGCUCAGGAGGAAACACAAACCCGAAACCCAACACCACCAACCCAUGUAGGUGACCAACUACCAAUGCUCAGCGCCAGCAAACGUAAAUUUGGGGACCUGGAAAUACACUCUGGUGGUGUCAGAAGACCGAUGCCUGCGCAGAGCUUUUCCACGCGCCUGCCUUCCUUCUGUGUUCGCUGCAGUGUGCUCAGCUGCUGAACGCUGCACUCAAGAGUUGCUUUAAAAGCACAUGGUGGGACGCAGAGGACCGUCCCAAGCCCCUGCUCAGCCCCACGCGUGUGCACAGCCCUGCAGCUCUGGCUGCUCUUUGCAAGGCUGAGAUACGCGCCAUCCUCAUAAAAACAAAAUCUUGAAAAUUCCUAAUGUGGAAGGUGAUUAAAAUUCCUAUAAAAUUGUCAUAUCUUUAAAUUUAGAAGCACGGCAGAUUUUUCAUCAAUAAUUAAGAUCUCUAAAGCAUUUAUGCUAGGCAUAAAUGGAGUUUCAAUCUUCCUUAUUCAAAUAAACAUGAUAAACCCAUUAACCAAAUGUUUUCUGAUUUUUUAUAUCUUCUCAUGCUUCUGGAAUACCAAACUGUAACGCACUUCUGCUCAUUUGGGGGAGGCAGAAAAGCACUGACACUGCACGGCUCGUUCUGGUUUUGGUGGGAUCGCCCCUCACAGAACCAACGUAAUUUAACUCACGAUGACUGUGGAACAUUACUAUGUAUACAUCAU